CAAUUAAUAUCUUAAAUUAAAGAAAUGAUUUUUUAAAUCAUUAAUGAUAAAUUUUAAUUAUCUUAAUUGA
RNAcentral lists this transfer RNA (70 nucleotides) under Philotrypesis sp. 'colon2'. RNAcentral's name for it is "tRNA-Lys". Lineage: Eukaryota; Metazoa; Arthropoda; Insecta; Hymenoptera; Pteromalidae. The record is from RNAcentral.